UACGGAGGGUGCAAGCGUUAUCCGGAAUCACUGGGCGUAAAGGGCGCGUAGGCGGUCUGUUAAGUCUGGCGUUAAAGCCUGGGGCUCAACUCCAGAUCAGCGUUGGAUACUGGCAGGCUAAACGGUUGGAGAGGCGAGUGGAAUUACCAGUGUAGCGGUGAAAUGCGUAGAUAUAGGAAGGAACACCCAUUGCGAAGGCAGCUCGCUGGACAACACGUGACGCUGAGGCGCGAAAGUGUGGGGAGCAAACCGGAUUAGAUACCCCGGUAGU
This 271-nucleotide ribosomal RNA is filed under the name uncultured prokaryote. Its description in RNAcentral is "partial 16S ribosomal RNA". It matches the Rfam family "Bacterial small subunit ribosomal RNA", at positions 524 to 794 of the family's 1533-position model. The record is from RNAcentral.